RNAcentral lists this non-coding RNA (826 nucleotides) under Ischyja manlia. Lineage: Eukaryota; Metazoa; Arthropoda; Insecta; Lepidoptera; Erebidae. The record is from RNAcentral.
UAAAAAUUUUUAUAGUUUAGAAAAUUUAUUUUAAAUUUAUUUUACAUAUAAAUUUUAGUGUUAAUAUUUAUUUAUUUUAAAAAUAAAUAAUUUGAUUAAAUUAGUAAUUAAUAUUAAAUUAUUUAAGAAAUUAAUAUUUAGUAAUAUUUUAAAUUAAUAACAAAUUUUGUGCCAGCAGUUGCGGUUAAACAAAGAUUAAUAUAAAUUUUAUUAGUUAAAUUAAUAAAUAAUAGGUAAAAAUAUUUAAUGUAAAUUUUAAAUUAUUAGGUGAAAUUUUAAUUUAAUUUAAAAUUAAUUAGGAAUUUAUGAUUUAAUAAGUUUUAUUAAAAACUAGGAUUAGAUACCCUAUUAUUAAAAUUUUAAAUUUUAAUACUAAAAUAGUAAGUAAUUAUUUAUUGAAACUUAAAUAAUUUGGCGGUAUUUCAGUUCAUUUAGAGGAAUCUGUUUAUUAAUUGAUAAUCCACGAAUAAAUUUACUUAAAUUUAUAAUUUUGUAUAUCGUUGUUAAAAAAAUAUUUUUAAAUAAAAUUAAUAUUUAAAAAUUUAUAGAAAAAUUAAAUCAGAUCAAGAUGCAGAUAAUAUUUAAGAAUAUAAUGGAUUACAAUAAAAUUAUUUAAAUGAAUAUUAAUUUGAAAUAAUUAAAUUGAAAUUGGAUUUAAAUGUAAUUUUAUUUAAUUUGAUAAAAUGAUUAAAAAUUGAAAUAUGUACAUAUUGCCCGUCGCUUUCAUAUAAUUAUAAUAAAUAUAAUUUAUAAUAUGAAAAAUAUAUAAUCAAAUUGAAAUAAGUCGUAACAAAGUAGAGGUACUGGAAAGUGUUUCUAGAAAGAA